CCUACGGGUGGCAGCAGUGGGGAAUAUUGGACAAUGGGCGAAAGCCUGAUCCAGCCAUGCCGCGUGUGUGAAGAAGGCCUUCGGGUUGUAAAGCACUUUCAGUGGGGAAGAAAGCCUUGGGGCUAAUACCCUCGAGGAAGGACAUCACCCACAGAAGAAGCACCGGCUAACUCCGUGCCAGCAGCCGCGGUAAUACGGAGGGUGCGAGCGUUAAUCGGAAUUACUGGGCGUAAAGCGCGCGUAGGCGGUCUGAUAAGCCGGUUGUGAAAGCCCCGGGCUCAACCUGGGAACGGCAUCCGGAACUGUCAGGCUAGAGUGCAGGAGAGGAAGGUAGAAUUCCCGGUGUAGCGGUGAAAUGGGUAGAGAUCGGGAGGAAUACCAGUGGCGAAGGCGGCCUUCUGGACUGACACUGACGCUGAGGUGCGAAAGCGUGGGUAGCAAACAGGAUUAGAUACCCAGUAGUC
Molecule: ribosomal RNA, 464 nt
Filed under: Vreelandella stevensii
Lineage: Bacteria; Pseudomonadati; Pseudomonadota; Gammaproteobacteria; Oceanospirillales; Halomonadaceae
Description: partial 16S ribosomal RNA
Rfam family: Bacterial small subunit ribosomal RNA
Source: RNAcentral